This 292-nucleotide ribosomal RNA is filed under the name uncultured bacterium. RNAcentral's name for it is "partial 16S ribosomal RNA". It matches the Rfam family "Bacterial small subunit ribosomal RNA", at positions 772 to 1067 of the family's 1533-position model. The record is from RNAcentral.
AGAGGAUUAGAUCUGGUAGUCCACGCCGUAAACGAUGGAUACUAGCUGUAUGUCUACUUCAGGUAGAUGUGUGGCUAAGCGAAAGUGAUAAGUAUCCCACCUGGGGAGUACGAUCGCAAGAUUGAAACUCAAAGGAAUUGACGGGGGCCCGCACAAGCGGUGGAGCAUGUGGUUUAAUUCGAUGAUACGCGAGGAACCUUACCAGGGCUUAAAUGUAACGGGACAGAUCUAGAGAUAGAUCCUUCUUCGGACUCAUUACAAGGUGCUGCAUGGUUGUCGUCAGCUCGUGCCG